Molecule: ribosomal RNA, 385 nt
Filed under: uncultured bacterium
Lineage: Bacteria
Description: bacterial SSU rRNA
Rfam family: Bacterial small subunit ribosomal RNA
Source: RNAcentral
GAUGAACGCUAGCGGCAGGCCUAAUACAUGCAAGUCAAGGGGAUAGCAAUAUCACCGGCGGACGGGUGCGUAACGCGUACACAACGUGCCCAAGGGCGGAGGAAAGCGGCGGGAAACUGCCGGUAAUACUCCAUGGUGUUGUAGAUUGGCAUCAGUUUACAACUAAAGUACAAGCGCCCUUGGAUCGGUGUGCGUUCGAUUAGCUAGUUGGCGGGUAACGGCCCACCAAGGCUACGAUCGAUAGGGGGUGUGAGAGCAUGGCCCCCCCACACGGGUACUGAGACACGGACCCGACUCCUACGGGAGGCAGCAGUAAGGAAUAUUGGACAAUGGGCGAAAGCCUGAUCCAGCCAUGCCGCGUGAAGGACGAAGGCGCUCAGCGUUG